RNAcentral lists this long non-coding RNA (829 nucleotides) under Fukomys damarensis (Damara mole-rat). Its description in RNAcentral is "lncRNA (ENSFDAG00000022366.1)". Lineage: Eukaryota; Metazoa; Chordata; Mammalia; Rodentia; Bathyergidae. The record is from RNAcentral.
CAGCCGUGAAGUCUACAGGUGUCGCGAGCCGGCGACGCAGAGCACUGUCCAGCAGUGUCUCAAACCUGAAAGAGCAGCGGGGUGGAGAUGGGGCAGAGAGAAAGGAAGGACGCCAAGACAAGAGUCUGAUCAAGGUGACGUUUAUUGCAGGCAGGCAUCAGCCUUUUAAAGGAAAAGACCGAACUGUUAUGGGCUAGGAUUACCAUAGUAACCUCAACACCCGCUCCACGGGAACGAGGGUUCACACGGGCAAGAGAAAUCAGGCUCAAGAAAAACAAAUUAACAACACUUGCAACUAAUAAUCAUGAUUCCCAAAUAGGUGGAGGAACUUAACAAAAUGGAGUUACAACACCUGACUCCUACAGAUAACGUCAGAUCUUUAACAGGAAGCACCUGACUCCUACAGAUCUUUGGCUGUCCGAGUUUCUCCCGUGCAGGGUCAAAAACAAGUUUAACACGUGCAGUCCUUAAAAAGGAACAAAUGUUAUCUUUCAAAAAGCCAGUGGGCCAUGGCUGGCUUCCCACAUACAGGGAGAAGCCAGGUCUCCAGGGUGCAGUCUGAAGGGGAGCGGAGAUCCCGGCCCUUCUUCCCAGCCAUGAGGUCUGCGAUGGCCUGGGAAGCUGAGGAGUCCUGCCCCUCCUGCCCCUAGGUGCAACCCCUUGGGGCCCUGCUGCCCCUCAGUAGGCAGAGGCCCAGGGAUGGCAGAGGAUACCCUUCCAGAGUGCUCGGGAGGAAGACCACAGCCCUACCUUCUGCCUGGCAUGCGUACCACCCCCAGCAGGACCUUGGCACAUGGUGAGUGCGAGCUGCUUUUUUUCUGCUGUGUGA